Molecule: long non-coding RNA, 207 nt
Filed under: Carica papaya (papaya)
Lineage: Eukaryota; Viridiplantae; Streptophyta; Magnoliopsida; Brassicales; Caricaceae
Description: long non-coding RNA (CPAP_LNC003463)
Source: RNAcentral
AGGUGGUGGUUCCGGUGUGGCCGCAGCGAGGGGUCAUUCUCCUUCUUUGAUGACUUGCUCCUCUUCUCUGGUGAGGGCAGGUGCGGCUAGGGUUAGGUUCCCUAAGACGUGAUGUUUAAGUACUCAUUUCGCGUCGAUCUGACUUGUCCAUCCAUGUACGUGUGGCCCUCUUUAUCUGUUGGAUUUAUCCUAUUUAGAAAAUGAAUC